UGAUCUCAAAUCAGGUAGGACUACCCGCUGAACUUAAGCAUAUCAAUAAGCGGAGGAAAAGAAACUAACAAGGAUUCCCCUAGUAACGGCGAGUGAAGCGGGAAGAGCUCAAAUUUAAAAUCUGGCGGUGUAUUCCGUCCGAGUUGUAGUCUAGAGAAGCAUCAUCCGCGCCGGACCAUGUACAAGUCUCUUGGAACAGAGCGUCAUAGAGGGUGAGAAUCCCGUCCUUGACAUGGACUCCCGGUGCUUUGUGUUGUGCUCUCAACGAGUCGAGUUGUUUGGGAAUGCAGCUCAAAAUGGGUGGUAAAUUCCAUCUAAAGCUAAAUAUUGGCGAGAGACCGAUAGCGAACAAGUACCGUGAGGGAAAGAUGAAAAGCACUUUGGAGAGAGAGUUAAACAGUACGUGAAAUUGUUGAAAUGGAAACGCUUGAAGUCAGUCGCGUUCUCUGGGACUCAGCCUUGCUUCUGCUUGGUGUAUUUCCUAGUCUACGGGCCAGUAUGAAUUUCGACCGAUAGAAAAGGGCUGGAGGAAUGUGGCACCUUCGGGUGUGUUAUAGCCUCCAGUCGCAUGUGUCGGUUGGGAUUGAGGACCUCAGUGCACGCUUUUGUUGUGCUUGAUGCGC
This 623-nucleotide ribosomal RNA is filed under the name Waitea circinata. RNAcentral's name for it is "partial 28S ribosomal RNA". It matches the Rfam family "Eukaryotic large subunit ribosomal RNA", at positions 1 to 626 of the family's 3401-position model. The record is from RNAcentral. Lineage: Eukaryota; Fungi; Basidiomycota; Agaricomycetes; Corticiales; Corticiaceae.